AGAAUAUUAGUAUAAGGUUAUUAUUUUUGAUUUUCGAUUAAAAGAUUUUAUAUUAUU
RNAcentral lists this transfer RNA (57 nucleotides) under Spirocerca lupi. RNAcentral describes it as "tRNA-Glu". Lineage: Eukaryota; Metazoa; Nematoda; Chromadorea; Rhabditida; Thelaziidae. The record is from RNAcentral.